This 253-nucleotide ribosomal RNA is filed under the name uncultured bacterium. Its description in RNAcentral is "partial 16S ribosomal RNA". It matches the Rfam family "Bacterial small subunit ribosomal RNA", at positions 524 to 776 of the family's 1533-position model. The record is from RNAcentral.
UACGUAGGGGGCAAGCGUUGUCCGGAAUCAUUGGGCGUAAAGAGCGUGUAGGCGGCCUGAUAAGUCGGUUGUGAAAGUCAAGGGCUCAACCCUUGAAUGCCGACCGAUACUGUCAGGCUAGAGUCCGGAAGAGGCGAGUGGAAUUCCUGGUGUAGCGGUGAAAUGCGUAGAUAUUUGGAGGAACACCGGUGGCGAAGGCGGCAUCCUGGACCAAUUCUGACGCUGAGGAGCGAAAGCCAGGGGAGCAAACGGG